Long non-coding RNA from Dermochelys coriacea (leatherback sea turtle), 152 nucleotides. RefSeq lists it as uncharacterized. NCBI's taxonomy places the organism in Eukaryota, Metazoa, Chordata, Testudines, Dermochelyidae. The record is from RefSeq and is a predicted model, not a curated record. The transcript is spliced from 3 exons.
CCCGCAGAGCCGGGCGCGGGGCCAGGGGAGGGGAGCAGGAAACCACAGAACAAAGAUUGGGUCAAACCACUAGUGAUGAUAAAGAAGAAGUUGAAGUUAAAUCUUCAUUUGUUCGUGCUGCAUGUGUUUCAAGGAUCACAGGAUCUUCUCCU